This 438-nucleotide ribosomal RNA is filed under the name uncultured Anaerococcus sp. Its description in RNAcentral is "bacterial SSU rRNA". It matches the Rfam family "Bacterial small subunit ribosomal RNA", at positions 338 to 795 of the family's 1533-position model. The record is from RNAcentral. Lineage: Bacteria; Bacillati; Bacillota; Tissierellia; Tissierellales; Peptoniphilaceae.
CCUACGGGCGGCAGCAGUGGGGAAUUUUGCACAAUGGGGGAAACCCUGAUGCAGCGACGCCGCGUGAUUUAGAAGGCCUUCGGGUUGUAAAAAUCUUUUGUAUGGGUAGAAAAUGACAGUACCAUACGAAUAAGGACCGGCUAAUUACGUGCCAGCAGCCGCGGUAAUACGUAAGGUCCGAGCGUUGUCCGGAAUCAUUGGGCGUAAGGGGUACGUAGGCGGAUAAGCAAGUUAGAAGUGAAAUCCUAUAGCUCAACUAUAGUAAGCUUUUAAAACUGUUCAUCUUGAGGUAUGGAAGGGAAAGUGGAAUGCCUAGUGUAGCGGUGAAAUGCGCAGAUAUUAGGAGGAAUACCGGUGGCGAAGGCGACUUUCUGGCCAUAAACUGACGCUGAGGUACGAAAGCGUGGGUAGCAAACAGGAUUAGAUACCCGAGUAGUC